RNAcentral lists this ribosomal RNA (3278 nucleotides) under Kudoa shiomitsui. Its description in RNAcentral is "eukaryotic LSU rRNA". It matches the Rfam family "Eukaryotic large subunit ribosomal RNA", at positions 84 to 2916 of the family's 3401-position model. Lineage: Eukaryota; Metazoa; Cnidaria; Myxozoa; Multivalvulida; Kudoidae. The record is from RNAcentral.
UAACUGCGAGUGAAGUGGGAAAAGCCCAUCGUUGAAUCUUCCUGGACCAUGGACAGGACGAAAUGUAACGGUAUGGAUAGGUCUACUACCAGCGAGGUUUGAUCAAAGUCCUCCGGGUUGAGGUGCCAUAGAAGGUGAUAGUCCUGUGUGUGAUUGAACAAAGUUGGGUAUGUGGCCAAUUCCUAGAGUCGGGUUGUUUGGGAUUGCAACCUAAAGUAGGUGGUAAACUCCACCCAAGGCUAAAUAUGGACACGAAACCGAUAGCGAACAAGUACUGUGAGGGAAAGUUGAAAAGAACUCUGAAAAGAGAGUUAAAAGUACGUGAAACCGCUUACGGGGAAGCGGAAGGCAGUGUCGUGAUCUUGUUGUAAUGGUGACUUUGAUAUUUGUCGACAAGUUGCGGUGUGAGUGACUUGUUAUUGGUAGGUAUUGAGUCAUUAGUUAUACUGGAUGCGUCAGGUCUAUUGGUAUUACAUGUGGUGGAAUUGUUCUUUAUCUACGCGUAGAAAUGCGUGUAGAGUGGCUUCAACAAGACCCUGACAGUUGUUUUGGGAAUUGCUGUUGCGUGGAUGCAAUCAAUCACAUAUACUAAUAUGUAAUGUGGGGRAGCGUUAGUGACUGUUGAUUUACUUCGGUCGGCUGUAGACCAUGCGGUUAUGUACGUUGAUUGCAGUGUGAUUACACGUAUAUUUAUAUUGUGUGGUGGAAUAGCAACUAGUGCUAGUAUCUGACGAGAUACCUAACCUUCCGACCCGUCUUGAAACACGGACCAAGGAGGCAGAAUCUAGAGCAAGUUGGAGGGUGGAAAACCCGACGGCGUAGUGAAAGCGAGAGAUGAGAUCUGUUAAACUGUGAAAAUGGUUUGAUGGCGCAUCAUCGGCCGGUCUUGACUAACCAUGUUUUGAUCGAGUUAGAGCUCUAGGUACUGGACCCGAAAGAUGGUGAACUAUACGUGAGCAGGGUGAAGCCAGAGGAAACUCUGGUGGAGGCUCGAAGCGAUUCUGACGUGCAAAUCGAUCGUUAGACUUGCGUAUAGGGGCGAUAGACUAAUCGAACUAUCUAGUAGCUGGUUCCCUUCGAAAUAUCCCUCAGGAUCGCUGAGACAUGUGUGAAACAGUUUCAUCGGGUAGAGCGAAUGAUUAGAGGAAUCGGGGAUAUAUUACUCUCGACCUAUUCUCAAACUACCAACCGGUGAGUAGCAUUGUUUGUAACUUGAGUGAAAUAAUGUGUGUGAAUGUUUGUGUCUCAAGUGGGCCAUUUUUGGUAAGCAGAACUGGCGAUGCGGGAUGAACCGAGAGUUGAGCUAAGGUGCCAAACGACACGUUGAUAGAUACCACAAAAGGAGUCGGUCGAUAAAGACAGCAGGGCGGUGGCCCUGAAAGUAGGAAUCCGCUAAGGAAUGUCUAACAACUCACCUGCCGAAUCGACCGGCCCUGAAAAUGAAUGGCGCUGAAUCGUGUGACCGAUGCUCAUCCUUUACUACUAGAAAUGUUUGGUAAAGGGUAGAAGGGCGCAACGGUAGCAAUAAAGUACAAAGUGUGAACUUGUAUGGAGCUGCCGUUGGUGUAGAUCUUGGUGGUAGUAGCAAUGAUAAAAGUGAGUAAAAACCUUUUAGGCCGAAGUGGAGAAGGGUUUCACGUGAACAGCAGUUGGACGUGAGUUAGUCGGUCCUAAGCGGUUGCCUAACGGCUAUUGCAAUGCUGACUUGUUUGUAUGGCUGUGCAGGAAUGCAUGGUUGUAUGGUGUAAAUGGGUCGGAAUCCGCGAAAGGGAAUCAGGUUAAUAUUCCUGAACCGGGCGUUGGAGACGCAAUCCUUGGCGCUGCAUGUUGCCUUUAUUGAUAAUGUGUUGGUGUUUGUGGGUUGCUUAGCGGUAACGCAAACAAUCUCGGAGACGUUGAUGUCUAUGGCGGGGAGAAUUAUCUUUUCUGUAUAACAGGCCAAAUUGUACCUUGGAAUCGAGUCAUUCGGAGAUGAGGUAAAAAGCCUGGAAGAGCAUGGCAAUUUUUGCAAUGUCCGCAGUAUAGGUAUCAACCCUUGAAAAUCCGAGGGAGUGGCUAAAUUUCACGCUCGUCCGUACCGAAUCCGCAUCAGGUCUCCUAGGUGUGCAGCCUCUGGCACUGGAACAAUGUAGGUAAGGGAAGUCGGCAAAAUGGAUCCGUAACUUUGGGAAAAGGAUUGGCUCUAAGGACCGGGCCAAUCGAGCUAGUAUUGCCUAGGUUAGUGGGUGUUGAACGGGACUUGUGUGUAUUGGUGUGUGUGUGUAAAAGCGUGUGCAUCAUAUGGAUAAGUUUGGUGAAACAAACGCUGGCCCUGGAAUGCCUGUGUGAACUUUAGAAUUGGUUGAUUGGUCGGUUGUGUGUGCUGUUGCUUUAUUGUGGUGGUUGCAUGCAGUUGGUUAGAUAUCAGCCGGUGGAGUUCUUUACGAGUGGCAAGCAUCGGUCUGCUUAGAACUGUUACUAACAUGGGGAAUCCGACUGUUUAAUUAAAACAAAGCAUUGCGAUGGCCUUAAGGGGUGUUGACGCAAUGUGAUUUCUGCCCAGUGCUCUGAAUGUCAAAGUGCGGAGACGCAACCAAGCACGGGUAAACGGCGGGAGUAACUAUGACUCUUGUAAGGUAGCCAAAUGCCUCGUCAUCUAAUUAGUGACGCGCAUGAAUGGAUCAACGAGAUUCCCACUGUCCCUACCUACCAUCCAGCGAAACCACAGUCAAGGGAACGGGCUUGACUGAGACGGCGGGGAAAGAAGACCCUGUUGAGCUUGACUCUAGUUUGAUUUUGUGAGAAGACAUGAGGGGUGUAGAAUAAGUGGGAGAUUGGCUUGUGUCAGUCGACGGUGAAAUACCACUACCUUCAUUGUUUUCACACUAAGUCGGUAACACGGGAAAUAUCCAUUCCUGCUGAAAAGGCAGGAUGGGUGGAUUCGUGGCUAUAAGACAGACAGAUCUGUUGACCCAUCGCCGAUGACAUAAUCAGAUGGGGAGUUUGACUGGGGCGGUACAUCCUUAAAAAUGCAACGAGGGUGUCCAAAGGCGAGCUCACCGUGGACAGAAACCACGGGUAGAGCAAAAGGGCAAAAGCUCGCUUGAUUCCGAUUUUCAGUACGAAUACGAACCACGAAAGUGUGGCCUAUCGAUCCCUUGAUCACCCAGAGUUUGGGGACAGGGGUGUCAGAAAAGUUACCACAGGGAUAACUGGCUUGUGGCGGCCAAGCGUCCAUAGCGACGUCGCUUUUUGAUCCUUCGAUGUCGGCUCUUCCUAUCAUUGGGUAGCAGCAUACU